This 639-nucleotide ribosomal RNA is filed under the name uncultured Actinomycetes bacterium. RNAcentral's name for it is "bacterial SSU rRNA". It matches the Rfam family "Bacterial small subunit ribosomal RNA", at positions 234 to 889 of the family's 1533-position model. The record is from RNAcentral. Lineage: Bacteria; Bacillati; Actinomycetota; Actinomycetes.
CGCCUGGGGAGUACGGGUGAGGUAACGGCUCACCAAGGCAUCGACGGGUAGCUGGUCUGAGAGGACGAUCAGCCACACUGGGACUGAGACACGGCCCAGACUCCUACGGGAGGCAGCAGUGGGGAAUAUUGCACAAUGGGCGAAAGCCUGAUGCAGCAACGCCGCGUGCGGGAUGAAGGCCCUAGGGUUGUAAACCGCUUUCAGCAGGGAAGAAAAUGACGGUACCUGUAGAAGAAGGUGCGGCCAACUACGUGCCAGCAGCCGCGGUGACACGUAGGCACCAAGCGUUGUCCGGAUUUAUUGGGCGUAAAGAGCUCGUAGGCGGUUCAGUAAGUCGGGUGUGAAAACUCUGGGCUCAACCCAGAGACGCCACCCGAUACUGCUGUGACUAGAGUGCGGUAGGGGAGCGGGGAAUUCCUAGUGUAGCGGUGAAAUGCGCAGAUAUUAGGAGGAACACCAGUGGCGAAGGCGCCGCUCUGGGCCGUAACUGACGCUGAGGAGCGAAAGCGUGGGUAGCAAACAGGAUUAGAUACCCUGGUAGUCCACGCCGUAAACGUUGGGCACUAGGUGUGGGUCUCAACCAACGAGAUCCGCGCCGUCGCUAACGCAUUAAGUGCCCCGCCUGGGGAGUACGGUCGA